CCAAUGCACUUAAGGAUCACUGUUCACUGUUCACUCUGAUCACAACAUUAGAUUAAACCCAAAUAAUUCUAACCUUUAGAGAGCCUUGAGGAAAUGUACACGCAGUCCUCAGCUGUUGGGCAACAGUACAGCUUGGCUCUCAACACUUUGGAAAAGAAAAGAGACCAGAGGAGCAGCUAUGAGUUUAACAGCAGCAGCGAGUGGAUUUGUUGUCUUCCUUCUCUCUGUACAAGUGAUACAGGGUCAGGAUGGCUGGGGAGUGACUUACACCUCUACUCAGAUCUGUGCUGUUAAAGGAUCAACAGUGGAAAUACACUGCAGAUACAGAUACCCAUACUGGUGGAAAAAUCGUCAUACUACAAUUGAGAGAACAUUAUGGUAUACUAAAAUGAAUAAUAAUGAACCUGUAGAUCUGACAAAAGACUCAGAAUAUUCAGGUCGUGUGCAGUACAGUUAUAAUUACAACGACUGCACUCUGAGAAUCUCAGACCUGAGAGAGAGAGACUCAGCUGUGUACAAGUUCAGGUUCACAACAAACCAAGAAGAUGGAAGAUAUAUCACUUCACCUGGAGUCACUUUGUCUGUCACAGCAGGUCUCCAGGUGAUAUCACGUUCUAACAGGCUGGAGUGUCGGAGCAGUUGUCGUCUACCUAAUAAUCCUUCCUAUGUCUGGUACAAGAAUGGACAGGAAAUUCAGGCACAAACAUCUUAUUAUUUAUACCCUGUGUAUAAUUCAGACAG
Molecule: long non-coding RNA, 741 nt
Organism: Perca fluviatilis (European perch)
Lineage: Eukaryota; Metazoa; Chordata; Actinopteri; Perciformes; Percidae
Exons: 4
Source: RefSeq, a predicted model, not a curated record